Molecule: ribosomal RNA, 37 nt
Filed under: Napier grass stunt phytoplasma
Lineage: Bacteria; Bacillati; Mycoplasmatota; Mollicutes; Acholeplasmatales; Acholeplasmataceae
Description: partial 23S ribosomal RNA
Source: RNAcentral
AAAGGAAUCAAGGGCGUACAGUGGAUGCCUUGGCACU